This 478-nucleotide ribosomal RNA is filed under the name uncultured bacterium. RNAcentral describes it as "partial 16S ribosomal RNA". It matches the Rfam family "Bacterial small subunit ribosomal RNA", at positions 28 to 507 of the family's 1533-position model. The record is from RNAcentral.
GAUGAACGCUGGCGGCGUGCUUAACACAUGCAAGUCGAACGGGAAUUACUUUAUUGACACUUCGGUCGAUUUAAUUUAAUUCUAGUGGCGGACGGGUGAGUAACGCGUGGGUAACCUGCCUUAUACAGGGGGAUAACAGUCAGAAAUGGCUGCUAAUACCGCAUAAGCGCACAGAGCUGCAUGGCUCGGUGUGAAAAACUCCGGUGGUAUAAGAUGGACCCGCGUUGGAUUAGCUUGUUGGUGGGGUAACGGCCCACCAAGGCGACGAUCCAUAGCCGGCCUGAGAGGGUGAACGGCCACAGUGGGACUGAGACACGGCCCAGACUCCUACGGGAGGCAGCAGUGGGGAAUAUUGCACAAUGGGGGAAACCCUGAUGCAGCGACGCCGCGUGAAGGAAGAAGUAUCUCGGUAUGUAAACUUCUAUCAGCAGGGAAGAUAGUGACGGUACCUGACUAAGAAGCCCCGGCUAACUACGUG